This 455-nucleotide ribosomal RNA is filed under the name uncultured bacterium. Its description in RNAcentral is "bacterial SSU rRNA". It matches the Rfam family "Bacterial small subunit ribosomal RNA", at positions 929 to 1382 of the family's 1533-position model. The record is from RNAcentral.
GCGGUGGAGCAUGUGGUUUAAUCGACGCAACGCGAAGAACCUUACCUGGAUUUGACAUCCUCUGACAGUUCCGGAACGGAAUUUUUCCGACUUGUCGGAACAGAGUGACAGGUGCUGCAUGGCUGUCGUCAGCUCGUGUCGUGAGAUGUUGGGUUAAGUCCCGCAACGAGCGCAACCCUUACCCUUAGUUGUUUUCCCGAAAGGAUUACCCUCUAAGGGGACUGCCCCGGACAACGGGGAGGAAGGUGGGGGAUGACGUCAAGUCCGCAUGCUCCUUACGUCUAGGGCUACACACGUCCUACAAUGGGGUCGACAGUGGGAUGCAAAGCCGCGAGGUGGAGCCAAUCCCCAAACGGCCUCUCAGUUCGGAUAGUAGUCUGCAACUCGACUACUUGAAGUCGGAAUCGCUAGUAAUGGCGGAUCAGCAUGCCGCCGUGAAUACGUUCCCGGGUCUU